Long non-coding RNA from Neofelis nebulosa (Clouded leopard), 2435 nucleotides. RefSeq lists it as uncharacterized. Lineage: Eukaryota; Metazoa; Chordata; Mammalia; Carnivora; Felidae. The record is from RefSeq and is a predicted model, not a curated record. The transcript is spliced from 2 exons.
CCCUGAGGACUUUCUUCCAAGUCUCCAUAAUGCAGAACCUUGUGGUUGGGUGAAAGUCGACAGUACCAAAACUUGUCUGAAGGAAAAAAACACACAAAUUUAUAAGAUCUCCUGAGCCUCCCUGUGCUCCUAGUCUAAUCACCAAUUUGACCACACCUUUAUACCCACAAUCUUCAUCCAGCAUUAUUCAUCCGUUCAUUCAACAACUGUUUUUCAAGCACCAACAAUGUGCAAGGCACCGUGAGACAUCUGAAGACUUGUGUCGAAUGAGCACCCAGUCUGGGAAAGUGGAUAAGACAUGUACAUACUUGCCUCCUCCAAGGGAGGAAGUAAUGUCACAGUGAAGUGAGGGCAAGACAUUCAUUCCUCAAAUACUUGGUCCCUCUCAAGUGCUGAUGGGCUGACAGCACAGUACCAGGACUUUGGCUGGGGCUUGAGGAGGGACCAGAUGUGGACAUGAUGAGAAGCAGAGAAGGAGCUACCAUUAAUGGUGGAAGAAACAGCAUGAGCCAACGCUUGGAGACAGAAGAAGACAUCCCUGGGUGGGGAGGAGUGUAUGGUGGCUUCAUUUAGUUGGAAAAGUGAGUUAGGGCUGUGAGGUAAGCCUGAAAGUCAGGCUGGGCCAGACAGUGGGUGGUUUUGUUGGUUAAGAUGAAAAAUUUGGAAUUUUUUUUCUAUAAUUAAUGAUAAGUCACCAGGGGAUUUGGGGGCUGUGUGAUGAAAUUCAAUACUAUAAAGUAUGUUGGGACGCAUACAAAAAUUGGGAGAGAUUCUGCUUGGAGAGGAGUCUGGGGAAACAUUACUAAAGAGCCAUUAUCCCUGUUGCCACUGGGGUGAGGAAGGAUGUCAGCAAGUCUGCAAGGCCAAGACACAACUGUGGCUGGGACUUAAAGGAUGGAUGGGAGUUACUGAGGGAAGAAGAGGGGCAGGAAGUCCAGGAAGAGGUACCAGCAAGAGCAAAGGCUGGAGGGAGGGAGUGCAUGGGUCGGACAUUAGACAAAAUAUGCUUUUGGAGUCCAUAUUACAGCUUUCAGCAAAUGGAUGCUACUGGUUGCAGGAUGGCUUCUCAGCCUUUAGGGCCCAACAUACAUGUUAGAAAUAAGCCCACAGACCCAAUCAAAGGAGGGACAUGGAGACUCAGAGCACAGUGAAACGAGGCUUUAAUCAACAUUCUUGCAAAAAUGGGGGACUGACAGACAUGCACACUCAGGACAAUUACAGCAGACAAUUUAUCUCCUAGCAUGCAAGUCCCUCCCUUGGUUCCUCAUUGGCUGAGUACUAGAGGUUAUAACCUUACCCGGAUAUUGUCUAUGCCCAUGUAAGACCAAAAAUAGUCUGACGGAAACAAGUGUAUAUUCCCUGAGGUGACUUUCAGGGACAGAGACUUUCAGUCCUUCCCUCAUGCUCAUUGCAAAGCCCACAAAAAUAAGCCCACGAAAUGGAGAGGGGAAGAAGAAACAGGAAGUGAAGUGUCUAAAGAUUUGAGACUCCAUUGUUGGGGGGGUUGGUUCAUACAUAUUUCCAAUAGAUUGUAAACCUAUUGUUAAUUAGAUAGCACAGCUUUUAUUUGGUAUUUCUGAAAAGGAAUAAUCUCCCUUACUUCUCAUAAUACACAACUGUGAAGCCAGGCUGUGACUUUUUCCAAGACAGUCUAUCUCUCCCAGACUCAGUUUCCUCAUCUGUAAACCAUAAAUACUAAUCAUUUAGAAUUUGUCGAGGUGUUGUUCUUUAGAUAAAGCCUCAUACCAUUUAUGGUACCUUGGACCAUACAUGGGUUUCCCUUCCCAAGCCUUAGUCUGCUCACUAUAAAGUGGAAAUAAUAGUUCAGAGUUCAUAGGGUUAUCAUGAAAUCGAAAUAAGAUAUUGUUUCAAUACACCAAAUAGAACAUAUUAGAGACACAACAAAUAUGAUGUCAUGCUCCCUUGCCUUCUGAGAAUGAAAUGACUUAUAUCAGAGGUUUCUCCUACAAUAAAAUAUCCUUGAAAGAGUGUUCCGAGACCACAUCUAUAUCAUUUGGGAACUUGCUGGAAAUGCAACUUCUCAGACUCACCCCAGAUCUACUGAAUCAGAAACUCAAGGAGUAGCACCCUGCAAUCAGGGUUUCUCAAUAGCUCCUCCAAAUGAUUCCAGCACUCACUAAAUGUGAGAAGCUUGGUCUCAGCAAACAUUUAGCCCCACUUCUCAGCCUUCAGUGUGGCAUCAAUGGCAAUUCGUGCCAUAUCCCAUUAAAGGAGAUAAGUCAGUUACUGGUGUACCUUUCUCCAACUAGAUUGUAAAUCCCUAGAGGGCAGGUACUGUUCCUUAUUUGUAUUGUGGUCCCUAGUACUUAACACGGUAUCUUGCAGACUGUAAUAAUGGUUGAUAUGUUUAAUGCCAAAGAUUCUUAGGCUCCUACAUUUUAUCUGUAGAAUUAAACAAAUACAUCCUUAACACA